AGUGGGACAGCUGGGUCACAUGGUGGUUCCAUUCUCAGUUUUUCAAGGAAUCUCCAUACUACUUUCCAGAUUGGCUGCAGCAAUUUGCAGUCUCACCAGCAGU
Molecule: microRNA precursor, 103 nt
Filed under: Marmota monax (woodchuck)
Lineage: Eukaryota; Metazoa; Chordata; Mammalia; Rodentia; Sciuridae
Source: RNAcentral